This is a long non-coding RNA of Sycon ciliatum, 1383 nucleotides long. RefSeq lists it as uncharacterized. The record is from RefSeq and is a predicted model, not a curated record. The transcript is spliced from 2 exons. Lineage: Eukaryota; Metazoa; Porifera; Calcarea; Leucosolenida; Sycettidae.
GGCUGGUUCCGAAAAAACACGGCCUGCACCGAUGGUGUUUGGUGGAUCAUCAAACAGGGUGACCAGCAGUGUUCACUGAGGAAGGAGAAUGCACUCGCCACCACUCCGAUUCAUCCAAGUGGGCGUUAGCUGCGCCGCGCCUAUUGUGUUUUAGUAUUCCAUGGAUGCACACUAGCGUUCUCAGCGAUUGUGGAGCCACAACAUAUCUUCAUGCGGCGUUGCACUGUCCAAGAGCAGAAACGUCAGCAGUGACCCAUCAUCAUACAUGUAGAUUUGGAGUAUACACACCAUGCGCCAAUGGGCCUCGGCACAACAGCGGCAGCUCUACGGAGUGUUCAAGUGAGAAACAUUUGUUUCGACUUUUGGUGGACGAACAAAUCGUCGGUGCCGAAAAACGUGGCCUGCGCCGAUGGUGCUUGAAACAUCAAGCAUGGUAUGUGGUGACUGUCAGUGUUGAUCGAGGAAGGAGAACACUCAGGCCGUCGACCGUUCAUCCAUUUCGUUAGCUGCACCAAGCCUAUUGUGUCCUUGUAUUCCAUGGGCACACAAUCAUGAAGCAUGGCGUCUGAGCUGUGUUCACAGAGCGGGGAGAUGCUCUUGCUGCUAUCUUAUCUGUCCUGUGUAUUCCCAAGUGCCGAAGGCUCACAACGAUGGUGUUGGACAAGUCAGAUAAAAUAGAGUCAACAUCGUCACACGGUGCUGUGACCAAGAUACGGAUCAUGCCGAACGCUGAUUCAACUGGACGAAUCGCGAGGCUUUUCAGAUGCAGGGACACAAUGGAAACUGAAUGACUUCAGAACAGCACUGCUUGGCACGUCUAUACAGCAUCAUUUGGCACAGCAAGAUGACAAAACAGCUAGCAGUGGCUAUUGGUGAGAAAAUUUUCUGCUGUGCCAUUGGAGUGUGCACGAUACACGAACCCUGCUCUUUUGUUGGCACCGCCUAUGUAACUUACUGCAUAGGGUGCAAGGUGACCGUUGUCGGUUUACAUGUACUCCAGUUAUUACACCGUGCAUGCACUGAGUCUGUGCUGCACUGUGCAUCCAUAGGUGUUCGUUUGCGGUAGCGCAAGGUGACACGCAAGGUUGAUGGAUUGUUUUGUCCGCUGCUAUUCGAAGCUCUCGGAGUCGGAAGCGUUACCUCUGUUUCCCCUGUUCCUCCCUGCGCGGAGUCUGUAGUUCUGGCUUGCAGUUGCUGUUACAUGCAUGUUGGCAGUUGCAUGUGUUUUGGUUUUCAGUUGUCUUUAUCAAGUUGUUUUGUGUGGACGACAGUUCAAUAUUCUAGCAGUUGUUGCACUUCCUACUUCUGAAGUACAUUCCGUAGUUAUCUGCGGUUGGUGUUCGAGAGAGUAAACUGUGUUCUUCUCCAGAGUGGAGUAAACCA